AUUAUAGAUUGCAUACUGCACAACUCCAGAUACCAGUCACAUAGAUCAGGGUUCAGUUGUGUCCUCAACAGUUGUACAGUGUGCACUCUGCAC
This 93-nucleotide microRNA precursor is filed under the name Marmota monax (woodchuck). Lineage: Eukaryota; Metazoa; Chordata; Mammalia; Rodentia; Sciuridae. The record is from RNAcentral.